GGAGAGGUGGCAGAGCGGUUGAAUGCGGCGGUCUCGAAAACCGUUGUAGGCGUCAAGCGUCUACCGGGGGUUCGAAUCCCCCCCUCUCCG
Molecule: transfer RNA, 90 nt
Filed under: Solirubrobacterales bacterium
Lineage: Bacteria; Bacillati; Actinomycetota; Thermoleophilia; Solirubrobacterales
Description: tRNA-Ser
Rfam family: tRNA
About the family: Transfer RNA (tRNA) molecules are approximately 80 nucleotides in length. Their secondary structure includes four short double-helical elements and three loops (D, anti-codon, and T loops).
Source: RNAcentral